GGCGCUGUGGUGCAAUGGGUUAACACACUGGCCUGAGAUGCCGGCAUCCCAUAUGGGCGCUGGAUCGAGUCCUGGCUGCUCCU
This 83-nucleotide transfer RNA is filed under the name Oryctolagus cuniculus (rabbit). It matches the Rfam family "tRNA". From Rfam's summary of the family: Transfer RNA (tRNA) molecules are approximately 80 nucleotides in length. Their secondary structure includes four short double-helical elements and three loops (D, anti-codon, and T loops). The record is from Rfam by way of RNAcentral. Lineage: Eukaryota; Metazoa; Chordata; Mammalia; Lagomorpha; Leporidae.